This 409-nucleotide ribosomal RNA is filed under the name uncultured bacterium. RNAcentral describes it as "bacterial SSU rRNA". It matches the Rfam family "Bacterial small subunit ribosomal RNA", at positions 29 to 484 of the family's 1533-position model. The record is from RNAcentral.
AACGAACGCUGGCGGCAUGCCUAACACAUGCAAGUCGAACGAAGUCUUCGGACUUAGUGGCGCACGGGUGCGUAACGCGUGGGAAUCUGCCCUUGGGUGCGGAAUAACUUCUCGAAAGGGAUGCUAAUACCGCAUAAUGUCGUAAGACCAAAGAUUUAUCGCCCAAGGAUGAGCCCGCGUAAGAUUAGCUAGUUGGUGGGGUAAAAGCCUACCAAGGCGACGAUCUUUAGCUGGUCUGAGAGGAUGAUCAGCCACACUGGGACUGAGACACGGCCCAGACUCCUACGGGAGGCAGCAGUGGGGAAUAUUGGACAAUGGGCGAAAGCCUGAUCCAGCAAUGCUGCGUGAGUGAUGAAGGCCCUAGGGUUGUAAAGCUCUUUACCAGGGAUGAUAAUGACAGUACCUGGAG